This 468-nucleotide ribosomal RNA is filed under the name uncultured bacterium. Its description in RNAcentral is "partial 16S ribosomal RNA". It matches the Rfam family "Bacterial small subunit ribosomal RNA", at positions 28 to 507 of the family's 1533-position model. The record is from RNAcentral.
GACGAACGCUGGCGGCGUGCUUAACACAUGCCAGUCGAACGGAAAGGCCCUGCUUUUGUGGGGUGCUCGAGUGGCGAACGGGUGAGUAACACGUGAGUAACCUGCCCUUGACUUUGGGAUAACUUCAGGAAACUGGGGCUAAUACCGGAUAGGAGCUCCUGCUGCAUGGUGGGGGUUGGAAAGUUUCGGCGGUUGGGGAUGGACUCGCGGCUUAUCAGCUUGUUGGUGGGGUAGUGGCUUACCAAGGCUUUGACGGGUAGCCGGCCUGAGAGGGUGACCGGCCACAUUGGGACUGAGAUACGGCCCAGACUCCUACGGGAGGCAGCAGUGGGGAAUAUUGCACAAUGGGCGGAAGCCUGAUGCAGCAACGCCGCGUGCGGGAGGACGGCCUUCGGGUUGUAAACCGCUUUCGCCUGUGACGAAGCGUGAGUGACGGUAAUGGGUAAAGAAGCACCGGCUAACUACGUG